ACUCUAGAGGGACUGCCGGUGGUCAAACCGGAGGAAGGUGGGAGUGACGUCAAGUCCUCAUGGCCUUUAUGUCUAGGGCUACACACGUACUACAAUGGCCGGUACAAAGGGCAGCCACUCAGCGAUGAGGCGCUAAUCCCAUAAAGCCGGUCUCAGUCCGGAUCGCAGUCUGCAACUCGACUGCGUGAAGUUGGAAUCGCUAGUAAUCGUAGAUCAGCAUGCUACGGUGAAUACGUUCCCGGGCCUU
This 247-nucleotide ribosomal RNA is filed under the name uncultured Desulfurivibrio sp. RNAcentral describes it as "partial 16S ribosomal RNA". It matches the Rfam family "Bacterial small subunit ribosomal RNA", at positions 1137 to 1382 of the family's 1533-position model. Lineage: Bacteria; Pseudomonadati; Thermodesulfobacteriota; Desulfobulbia; Desulfobulbales; Desulfobulbaceae. The record is from RNAcentral.